CAGACCCUCCCUCCCAGACCAACCUACUUCCUGUACAUGGAUGCUGUCCAGGAAGUAGGAUGGUCUGGGAGGGAGGGUCUGCU
Pelobates cultripes (western spadefoot toad) is the source of this 83-nucleotide non-coding RNA. The record is from the annotation of a GenBank genome assembly. NCBI's taxonomy places the organism in Eukaryota, Metazoa, Chordata, Amphibia, Anura, Pelobatidae.